This 1594-nucleotide long non-coding RNA is filed under the name Equus asinus (donkey). Its description in RNAcentral is "lncRNA (ENSEASG00005031178.1)". Lineage: Eukaryota; Metazoa; Chordata; Mammalia; Perissodactyla; Equidae. The record is from RNAcentral.
CCCGCCCCUCCCUGGCGGGGGCGGGCGCCCGGCUCCGGCUCUGUUGGGCCGAGCCGCCUGUGGAAACAUAUGACCUUGUGAACACAAGGUCAAGGUCCCUCCUAGGACCUAUGCAAGUGUGAGGCCUUGCCGGACACAUAAUCCUCAAGAUGAGGAAACUGAGGCACAGAGAGGGAAAGCCGAGCCUGACUCCAGCCUCAUCACUACUCCUAUUACAACAAGAAGAGAUAUGAAACUACAGGACAUUUUGAAACCGGAGGCAAAAACUUCCCUCCCACCACCUGAAGAGAGAAUGGAAAUUUGGGGGGAAACCAGACCCGCUCUACAGUGUUGGGAGCCCUGUGAUGAUCUAGAAUUACGCUGUCAAUUUGGAGCUUUAAAAUACAUCGUGCACAGCAUAUUUUGAAAUGUGAAGAUUGGGAGAGCUUCAAGAGGAAUGAAGGUUCAUGGAAAAUUGCCCUUUUCCUUCAGAUUUUUCCAUUUGGUUUUAAGUCUUCAAAACUCUCAUCCCAGGAUUCCAGCUACUAAUGCUCUUCUUCUUUAGUGAUGCCUGGAAUUCACUGGAAACUUGGACCCUGGAGUUCCGCUGACCUGAAUUCUGUUCCCACUAACAGGUGGUAUGACUUAGGAGUGAGUGGUCAAGCCUUACUUGUCGAAAGUAAGGGUAAUACUACUUCCCCUGCUGAGUUGUCAUGCAGAUCUGGGGGAUAAUGUGCAUACAGCACUUGGCACGGAGCCUGGCACACAGAAGCGCUCAGUGGGGCCCCAUGCUCCAGCUGCACACAACUUCUCAGGUUUGCUAAGCACAUUUCCAUGGUUUUGCACACGCUGUUCCCUCUUCUUGGUGGCCAACUCCUACUCAUCCUUUAAGGCCCUCUGACUUUUUCCACCUCUUCUACACUUACUACAAAUAUGUGUUCCAGUAAAACACUAGAAAAGGCACUUCCCUGUGACACCCUCCCUAGGGCUCCCUGUCACUGCAUGUCACUGCACCGAGAUGCAGUGAUCUGUUUAUGCUUUGGUCCCAACAGGGGCUUGAACUUCCUGAGGGCAAGGUCAUAUCUGAUUAAUUUCUGAGUCCCAGUGGCCAGCAUGCACAGCCUGGCAUGAAGUAGAUUUCAACACAAGUUUGCUUUACCUUAAAUGCACGUGGUCUGGAUCCAGCCCCUGCUGCCCCAGGACAAAUUUAUGUCUAAGAAAUGGUCAAAAGCAGCCAGAUCUGUUACAGCCACUGGAAGUGGCAGUGAGUGGACCCAGAGCAGCCUUGAGACAGGCCUGUCCUGGGAGAAGUUGAAGGGGACAUAGUCCUUGCAAGCGAAUAAACAGCCUUGGUUUCAAUGUCACCUCCUUCAGGAGUCUUCCUUGGGUCCUAAAUUGUCCCCUUUCUCUGAGAUCUCCCCAAGGCAUUAGCAGAAGGGGUCUCAAGUGAUGACGAGUGUCCCCUGCCUUGCUGAAACUCCCCCACCCCCACAUUCAUACACAGGUCCCUAUAGUCUCCAUAGGUCAUAGGCUCCAUUUGGAGGGUGAAGGUGACGUAGGUGGGCUGGGACUCCAGGCCUAGGUAGCCUGGCAGGAUGGCUCAGUGCUGGGCACU